This 217-nucleotide long non-coding RNA is filed under the name Olea europaea (common olive). RNAcentral's name for it is "long non-coding RNA (OEUR_LNC001854)". Lineage: Eukaryota; Viridiplantae; Streptophyta; Magnoliopsida; Lamiales; Oleaceae. The record is from RNAcentral.
ACCAAGAAAGUACAUACACAUACAUAUAGAAUAAAAAAUGGAAAUUCACCUCUCAAAUUGUACUUUCAAAACAAAAUAAACUUACCUAGAAGCCUUUCUAUCAUCACCAUACGCAAACCUACAAGAAAAAUCAAGAAAUCCCACUAUAACUCAAGAAACCAUAAUGGGUCUUUGCAAGAUUCCACAUUUUUCCAAGAUUUCUUGGUAUAAAUGUAAU